CCUACGGGUGGCAGCAGUGGGGAAUAUUGCACAAUGGGGGAAACCCUGAUGCAGCGACGCCGCGUGAGUGAAGAAGUAUCUCGGUACGUAAAGCUCUAUCAGCAGGGAAGAAAAUGACGGUACCUGACUAAGAAGCCCCGGCUAACUACGUGCCAGCAGCCGCGGUAAUACGGAGGGGGCAAGCGUUAUCCGGAUUUACUGGGUGUAAAGGGAGCGUAGACGGCAGCACAAGUCUGGAGUGAAAUCCCGGGGCUUAACCCCGGAACUGCUUUUGAAACUGGGCGGCUGGAGUGCAGGAGGGGUAAGCGGAAUUCCUGGUGUAGCUGUGAAAUGCGUAGAUAUUAGGAGGAACACCGGUGGCGAAGGCGGCUAACUGGAAUGUAACUGACGUUGAGGAUCGAAAGCGUGGGGAGCAAACAGGAUUAGAUACCCUUGUAGUC
This 440-nucleotide ribosomal RNA is filed under the name uncultured bacterium. RNAcentral describes it as "partial 16S ribosomal RNA". It matches the Rfam family "Bacterial small subunit ribosomal RNA", at positions 338 to 795 of the family's 1533-position model. The record is from RNAcentral.